ACGGGAGGCAGCAGUGGGGGAUAUUGCACAAUGGGGGAAACCCUGAUGCAGCGACGCCGCGUGAGCGAUGAAGUAUUUCGGUAUGUAAAGCUCUAUCAGCAGGGAAGAUAAUGACGGUACCUGACUAAGAAGCCCCGGCUAACUACGUGCCAGCAGCCGCGGUAAUACGUAGGGGGCAAGCGUUGUCCGGGAUGACUGGGCGUAAAGGGCGUGUAGGCGGUUUUUUAAGUCUGGAGUGAAAGUCCUGCUUUCAAGGUGGGAAUUGCUUUGGGGACUGGAAGACUUGAGUGCGGAAGAGGUAAGUGGAAUUCCCAGUGUAGCGGUGAAAUGCGUAGAGAUUGGGAGGAACACCAGUGGCGAAGGCGACUUACUGGGCCGUAACUGACGUUGAGGCUCGAAAGCGUGGGGAGCAAACAGGAUUAGAUACCCUGGUA
RNAcentral lists this ribosomal RNA (434 nucleotides) under uncultured Clostridium sp. Its description in RNAcentral is "partial 16S ribosomal RNA". It matches the Rfam family "Bacterial small subunit ribosomal RNA", at positions 341 to 792 of the family's 1533-position model. Lineage: Bacteria; Bacillati; Bacillota; Clostridia; Eubacteriales; Clostridiaceae. The record is from RNAcentral.